GGCCUUACACUUGUCAUCCUCCUGCCCCAGACUCCCACGUAGCUCUGAUUACAGGUGUGUGCUGCCAUAUUUGACUGUUGGUAUUCUAAUCCUUGAAAGAGAUGUACCAAUUUCCUCUUGAGAGAAAUCUGUAGAUAAGUUUUUAAUAUCCAUCAGUAACAAUGUUGCAUUUUCACUUACGUUAUGAUCUAAAGAAAUACGUGUAUGAUGUACAUUUAUCUGACUCACUUGAAAUGUUCCUUGUAUAGCCACAUACUUUGGGGUCCUUCUUUGUGUUAAAAUUGGGUUGGCACUACCUGAACCCUCACACAGAUGAUAUUUAACUUUUAAUGUGUUGGUAGUCAUUAUGUUUCCGUGUCCUAAUAAAAACCAUUUUGUACUGUUUGAUAAAAAUCAUAUUGAAAUUAUCUAACUAUUUUUAAAGCUAAAACUGCAGCUUUUCAGUGAGAUAAGAUGGAGUUUAGUCUUUUAAUUUCUGUAAUAAAUGGAUCUUGCUUUUCCAUCAUAAAAACAACCAUGCUACUUUAUCACAGGGUAAGCAGAAAAGAACAAGGCCGAUAUAAUAUGUAAAUGAUGCAAAUGAUGCAUUCGUGCGAAGACCAUAUGAGUCAUGGUGCCCACAGUAGUUUGAAUAGAGACACAUAGCAAAGCAGCUGAGUCAUUACUGGGCUGACAGUAGCAGAGACUAAAGUCAGAAGAAGCAGCUCACUUAUUCAGGGUCUUGUUGAAUUGCCCGGACUGACCUCACACUUUCCAUCCUCCUGCCUCAACCUCUGGAGUAAUGAGGGUGCUUAAAUCCUGUGAUACUAUUUUGCUGGCAGGUUUGGCACCUGUGAUCCUCCCCAUCUUUACACCAGAGCUUGAAUCCAUUCUUCAGGCGGCCAUCCUUUUCUUAUUAUGGUCAAGGCAGUGCUAUACCAAUGAGGCUCAUGGUGGGAGCAGUCUGUCCUCAGUAAGGAUGAAGAGGAUUUAAAAACCAACUAGAAGUUGCUUUGAGAACUGAACUACAUGCAACAAGAUACUUACGGGGAACAAGCAGAAAUCAUUUCCAUAGCUUGACUCUUAUGUGCAAGCAAUAAGAAGUAUAAAUAAACAGUCUCUUAUUUUGUGAGUUAAAACACAAGCUACUCCUUUGUGUGUCAUGUCUGUCUGAACAAUUAGAGAGCCAGGAUCCUACCAGACAACACUUCCAAACCUUUCUGAUUCAUGCUGCUGGACUGAGUGAUAAAGCUUGUUGGUUAUUCUGGUAACAAUGUGACCUCUAAGGAUUGACAAAGAGUUGACAAGCUUUCUCUUCUUAAAACCCCACAUAGCAAACAAAUGGAAGACUGAAUUGUAAGGCUUUUUGUUUGUUUGUCUGUUUACCUUGUUGGCAUUUGGAAAGAGCAC
Molecule: long non-coding RNA, 1389 nt
Organism: Fukomys damarensis (Damara mole-rat)
Lineage: Eukaryota; Metazoa; Chordata; Mammalia; Rodentia; Bathyergidae
Exons: 4
Source: RefSeq, a predicted model, not a curated record